RNAcentral lists this ribosomal RNA (410 nucleotides) under uncultured bacterium. RNAcentral's name for it is "bacterial SSU rRNA". It matches the Rfam family "Bacterial small subunit ribosomal RNA", at positions 509 to 916 of the family's 1533-position model. The record is from RNAcentral.
CAGCAGCCGCGGUAAUACGUAGGGCGCAAGCGUUGUCCGGAAUUAUUGGGCGUAAAGAGCUCGUAGGCGGUCUGUCACGUCGGUUGUGAAAACACAAGGCUCAACCUUGUGCCUGCAAUCGAUACGGGCAGACUAGAGUACUGCAGGGGAGACUGGAAUUCCUGGUGUAGCGGUGGAAUGCGCAGAUAUCAGGAGGAACACCGGUGGCGAAGGCGGGUCUCUGGGCAGUAACUGACGCUGAGGAGCGAAAGCGUGGGGAGCAAACAGGAUUAGAUACCCUGGUAGUCCACGCCGUAAACGGUGGGUGCUAGGUGUGGGGCCCUUUCCACGGGUUCUGUGCCGAAGCUAACGCAUUAAGCACCCCGCCUGGGGAGUACGGCCGCAAGGCUAAAACUCAAAGGAAUUGACGG